GACGAACGCUGGCGGCGUGCUUAACACAUGCAAGUCGAACGGGCCUGUCUUCUUUUUUGGGGGUGGGUUGAGUGGCGAACGGGUGAGUAUCACGUGAGUAACCUGCCCUUCGGUCCUGGAUAACCGCUUGAAAGGGCGGCUAAUACGGGGUGGUCCGGUUGGUCCGCAUGGGCUGGUCGGGAUAGAUUCACUGUUUUUGGUGUUUCGGCGGGGGAUGGGCUCGCGGCCUAUCAGCUUGUUGGUGGGGUGAUGGCCUACCAAGGCGGUGACGGGUAGCCGGCCUGAGAGGGUGGGCGGCCACACUGGGACUGGGAUACGGCCCAGACUCCUACGGGAGGCAGCUGUGGGGGGUAUUGCACAAUGGGCGGAAGCCUGAUGCAGCGACGUCGCGUGAGGGAUGGAGGCCUUCGGGUUGUGAACCUCUGUUUCCGGUGGUGAAGGCCCUGUCCGUGUGGUGGGGUUGACGGUAGCCGGGGAUGAAGCGCCGGCUAACUACGU
RNAcentral lists this ribosomal RNA (498 nucleotides) under uncultured bacterium. RNAcentral describes it as "partial 16S ribosomal RNA". It matches the Rfam family "Bacterial small subunit ribosomal RNA", at positions 28 to 506 of the family's 1533-position model. The record is from RNAcentral.